AUCAUUACCAGAUUUACCAUCAGCUUUAACAUGUUACAUCCCAGACUACUGUACAGGCAUCGACUGUUGUUAUCACUUUGACUACCUGGAUCUGUCACUCAAUAUUUACCUGUAUAUUGAUACCUGUAAUUAUGUCAUCAAAGGAGGGAUAGAGAAAUUUACCUUUGAGUUACCUUUCUUCCAUUAUAACUGGGGUGAAGAAAAAGAAGAAAGAUUACAGGAAGUUAUUAGGAUCAAAUACAAAAUCAACAAGUUGUCAGAACAGAAGAAAUUCAUUGUUGAUUUGGAGUUCAGUAUAUGUUUGGAGAAAGAUAAAUGUGAUACCAAGCUUCCAUUGUUUACCAAACAGUUAAUACCACAACCAUUCUGUGAUAUGAACAUGAAUUUCAGUA
Long non-coding RNA from Mytilus californianus (California mussel), 392 nucleotides. RefSeq lists it as uncharacterized. The record is from RefSeq and is a predicted model, not a curated record. The transcript has 3 exons. NCBI's taxonomy places the organism in Eukaryota, Metazoa, Mollusca, Bivalvia, Mytilida, Mytilidae.